RNAcentral lists this ribosomal RNA (488 nucleotides) under uncultured bacterium. Its description in RNAcentral is "bacterial SSU rRNA". It matches the Rfam family "Bacterial small subunit ribosomal RNA", at positions 501 to 990 of the family's 1533-position model. The record is from RNAcentral.
CUACGUGCCAGCAGCCGCGGUAAUACGUAUGUCGCGAGCGUUAUCCGGAAUUAUUGGGCAUAAAGGGCAUCUAGGCGGCCAGACAAGUCUGGGGUGAAAACUUGCGGCUCAACCGCAAGCCUGCCCUGGAAACUGUUUGGCUAGAGUGCUGGAGAGGUGGACGGAACUGCACGAGUAGAGGUGAAAUUCGUAGAUAUGUGCAGGAAUGCCGAUGAUGAAGAUAGUUCACUGGACGGUAACUGACGCUGAAGUGCGAAAGCUGGGGGAGCGAACAGGAUUAGAUACCCUGGUAGUCCCAGCCGUAAACGAUGAUUACUGGGUGUGGGCAUGAAGAGUGUCCGUGCCGAAGCUAAUGCGAUAAGUAAUCCGCCUGGGGAGUACGGCCGCAAGGCUGAAACUCAAAGGAAUUGACGGGGACCCGCACAAGCGGUGGAGCAUGUGGUUUAAUUCGACGCAACGCGAGGAACCUUACCAGAUCUUGACAUCCC